Molecule: unclassified non-coding RNA, 143 nt
Filed under: uncultured Phialophora
Lineage: Eukaryota; Fungi; Ascomycota; Leotiomycetes
Description: sequence contains ITS1
Source: RNAcentral
CAGAGUUGAAAAACUCCAACCCCUGUGAACCUUACCAUUACUGUUGCUUCGGCGGACGAAAGGCCCCCCGGGGCCAGACGCCGCCGGAGGUUCCAAACUCUGAAUCUUUGUGUAUCUCUGAGGAAAAAAAAAACCAAUAAUUA